CCCUACGGGGUGCAGCAGGCGCGAAACCUUUACAAUGUGCGAAAGCAUGAUAAGGGAACUCCGAGUGCCAGUAUCUAAUACUGGCUGUCCUUGUGCCUAAAACGCACAAGAUAGCAAGGGCCGGGUGAGACCGGUGCCAGCCGCCGCGGUAACACCGGCGGCCCGAGUGGUAGCCGCUAUUAUUGGGUCUAAAGGGUCCGUAGCCGGUUCGAUAAGUCCUCUGGGAAAUCUGGUUGCUUAACAAUCAGACUGCCAAGGGAUACUGUCGAACUUGAGACCGGGAGAGGUAAGAGGUACUUCAGGGGUAGGAGUGAAAUCUUGUAAUCCCUGGGGGACCAUCUGUGGCGAAGGCGUCUUACCAGAACGGGUCUGACGGUGAGGGACGAAAGCUGGGGGCGCAAACCGGAUUAGAUACCCGGGUAGUCCCAGCCGUAAACGAUGCUCGCUAUGUGUCAGGUACGGUGUGACCGUAUCUGGUGCCGUAGGGAAGCCGUGAAGCGAGCCACCUGGGAAGUACGGCCGCAAGGCUGAAACUUAAAGGAAUUGGCGGGGGAGCAC
RNAcentral lists this ribosomal RNA (558 nucleotides) under uncultured archaeon. RNAcentral's name for it is "bacterial SSU rRNA". It matches the Rfam family "Archaeal small subunit ribosomal RNA", at positions 321 to 879 of the family's 1478-position model. The record is from RNAcentral.